This 1059-nucleotide long non-coding RNA is filed under the name Dasypus novemcinctus (nine-banded armadillo). RNAcentral's name for it is "lncRNA (ENSDNOG00000051653.1)". Lineage: Eukaryota; Metazoa; Chordata; Mammalia; Cingulata; Dasypodidae. The record is from RNAcentral.
CCGCAACGGAACUUAAAGCUCCGCCCCUUCCAUGACGUCCACACGUUUGCGUUCUACGGCACCCCUGCAGGGGUCCGCUGCCCCAUCUUUUGCAGGCGAGGCCCCAGCUGGGAAGGUGGUCUCUGGUUUUUGGUCCGUGGGGACGGGCGCCAGCCACCGGCCUCCCGUCCGUCUGUAGACGGCAGGCUCUGGGAAGGAGAAAGGCAGGUGCAGAGCGAAGGAGCUGGUCCCUGAACAGAGACAGCGACGCCACCCGAGACCCGUUGGAGCCAGGGAGCACAGAGCAGCGGACAGCAGCUGUGAGGGUCAGGCUGUUGUGUCAACUCGGCCAGACGGGGAGGCCGGUGUCCGCCAACCGACGAGCAGACCGGCCGCCUGUGUGCAGUCACAGGGCGGAAUCUUAGGCGGCCGCGAGAAGAAACGACGUCGUGACGCACGGCAGCGCGGGCCAACCUGCAGGACCCGGUGUUGAGCGAAGCGAGCCAGGCGCAAAAGGGCAAUACUCUAUGACUGCGCUGCUACGAACCAGACGCGUCGUGGGACUCCUGGAGUUUCUAACCUGAAUAUGGGUCACCAGAAAAGAGAAUGACAGUAGAGGGUGGAAAGCUGAGGGCUAUACAUAGAAAAGGUGAAAGCGUAUCUUAGUGUUUGCAACUAGCAGAGCUGUUGUAUGGGUAAGACAGUGGUGGAAAGGAAAGUCCAAGGGCAUGUGUAUUACUAGAAGGAAAGCCAAAAACUUUUGGGGGAUUGUAGAGCAUAGUAAAAUCCCACGGGUAAUAGUGCAUAUGGAAGACCGUUUUUCUUUGAAACUGAACAGAUGUAUAUUAAUGUUUUAAGAUGUUGAUAUCAGGCAAAAGAAAAGCCAUUAUGCCAAGAGAAAGAAACAAGAGACAAAGUGCAACAUAUUGUCUGAUUCCAUUUAUAUAAAAUGUAAAUAUAAAUCAGUGUAUCAAGAUGGAAUUAGGCUCGGGGUUCUGUAGGGCUGGGAGGUGGAGGCAUGGAGAAGUGGCUGCUAAGGUGUGAGGGGGUUUUCUUUUUGGAGAAAUGAAAUUGUUUUAA